Macrobrachium nipponense is the source of this 1625-nucleotide long non-coding RNA. RefSeq lists it as uncharacterized. The record is from RefSeq and is a predicted model, not a curated record. Lineage: Eukaryota; Metazoa; Arthropoda; Malacostraca; Decapoda; Palaemonidae. The transcript has 3 exons.
AUAUAUAUAUAUAUAUAUAUAUAUAUCACGUGUCUAUCUGUCUCCUGUCUGUCUGUAGUUAAUAUCCGUUUUGGUAAGCGAUUAUUGUUUCAAAAUCUGUUCGAUUUUACGUAUUCCAAGAGAGGCGUGUCGUAUAGUUUGUGUAUUUUUUUUUUUUUUCAGGUAUCCCGGACUUUCCAUAAAAAAAAGUUCGUUGGCGUAGUAAACUGAUUACCGAAUACAAAAAACUUUGGAACCUAAUUAGCCAAGGAAGUCCAGUAUAUUGAAAUUCACGGCGAAGGAAGACUUGCAGGGUCGACCCCGAGCGAAGAGAGGGUAUUUCUGUCGGCUACCGUGAUGCCUCACUGCCUAGUACGAGCGGUCUUUCUUCCCCCUCAGUUUGAGAACAGUAAGGAGUUUUUGCUGCAUCUUCACCACUGCCCGCUCAUCUUGCCUAUGUAAGAUCGCAGAGGAUAUGUUGGGCUAGACAGUUUAGAAUGGAAGAGGGCAAAAUGCCUAAAGUGGUUAUGGAAGGAUCAGUAGAAGACCAGCAGAGAGACCAAGGAUGAGAUCAGUAGAAGGGAGAAGACCAGUGGGGAGACCAAGGAUGAGAUAAAAAGAUAAUGUGUUCAGGGAUCCAAGAGAAUUGGGAGAUGAGGAUCCUGAGAAUAACUAGAGAGAUGCAGCACUCAACAGGGGAACAUGGAGAGGUCUGGUGCAAGCAGGCAUGGGCCCUAAAGAGCUACUGAAGUGAGAGUGUUUCACUAAUAUGCCUUUAUUUCUACUUUCAAGAAAGAUUCUCGACAGCCUCUCUAUACUGGGUUGUUGCUAGAUACUAGUGGGCAUCUUGUUAUGAGAACUCACAUGUAACUGAAGCAGUAAUCUUUUACAAAGGUUACUUUCUUAUAUACGUACUGACAAAUCUAUCCCAUAAUAAUUGCACAUCCCUGGGACUAGCUGUUGACAAAUCAUAACCCAUUUGGUGUUUUAUAACCCAAAAAUGUGGGAAUUAUGAUGAAGAUAAGUGUGUAAUUAAAUCAGUGUUGCCAGAAAUGUAGAAAAAAAUAUGUUAAACAGAAAACAAAAAUUUCAGGGAAUAUGCCAGAAUCUUUGGUGUGUUUUGGCCGACAAAAAGAUUCAUACCUAAAAACAUUGAUCCAAGACCAGUGUCCCAUCUUAAUGGUUAAUAUCUUGAACAGUUGGUUGAGGUUCUGAACAAUAUCUAUGGAAAAUGUAAGUAAUUUAAGGCUUCAAGAGAAAAAUAUAUGUAAAUCUAACACUAUAAAACCCCCUCAAACUAAAUCCCACCCCAUCUAGCUGUCAUGCAAUUCAAUAUAAAACAUAUUAAAUCUACUUUACAUUGCAUUAAACUUUAUGUUGCUAUGAUUAACCUGGAGAACAAACAGUAAAAUACUCUCAAGUCUUAGGAAUUAACAUACAACAAAAUUACUCAAAGGACAAAUUAUCAUGAGAGUGUAGUCACUACUCUAAGCUCACAUAAAUAAACCUGUAGUAUACCGCAAGUGUACAAUAAUCAUGCUGAACAGAGAGAACUAUUCUUUUUAGAACAGGCACACAAGGCUAAAAAUAAAAAAAAACCAUGAUUGAUCAAAAGAUUUUCUAAUAAUCCUAAAUUAAAAUCUAUA